CAGGUUUCCACUAGUAAGCAGGCUCAGGUAUAGGUGGAAUUCGAGGUGGGUGAUACAGGUGCAAAGUUGAAAGCCAUGAAUGCAUUUAAAGCUUUCAAAGCCCCAGUCCCAAUUGCAUGGAGUCCUAACUUAUGCAUAACCUUGGUGAGGGGCAUUCCUGGAACCAGGAGACUUCAUAAACGUAACUGUCAUGCGAUGGAAUACUCCCACUGUUAGGGGAAUGCUCCAACAGUUAAAGAGGUUAGUUGUGAUUGAGACAGAAGAAAUGUACAAGGCCCGCAAACAAAAUGUGGCAAACCAUCAAGCUUUGCGUCCCCCAUUGGUCGUGAACCACUCACCUGCGCACUCAAGCAAUUCUCCCUAGAGCAUGCAGUUGUUUUGUGUAGUUCAUUAGAGGUCAGCUCUCUUUUUCUAGUGUGCGUCUGUUGCUUAUGGGAUCUUUUUCCGGUAGUGUACUUUCAUAAGUACGGCUGGUUAAUGAACUGAACUCAGAAUUUUGUUUAAUUAACGUAAUGGAUACAGUUGCAAAUUAACUUUU
Long non-coding RNA from Manihot esculenta (cassava), 538 nucleotides. RefSeq lists it as uncharacterized. The transcript has 3 exons. Lineage: Eukaryota; Viridiplantae; Streptophyta; Magnoliopsida; Malpighiales; Euphorbiaceae. The record is from RefSeq and is a predicted model, not a curated record.